RNAcentral lists this ribosomal RNA (406 nucleotides) under uncultured bacterium. Its description in RNAcentral is "partial 16S ribosomal RNA". It matches the Rfam family "Bacterial small subunit ribosomal RNA", at positions 30 to 526 of the family's 1533-position model. The record is from RNAcentral.
AUUGAACGCUGGCGGCAGGCCUAACACAUGCAAGUCGAACGAGUGGCGGACGGGUGAGUAAUGUCUGGGAAACUGCCUGAUGGAGGGGGAUAACUACUGGAAACGGUAGCUAAUACCGCAUACCAUCGGAUGUGCACAGAUGGGCUUAGCUAGUAGGUGGGGUAAAGGCUCACCUAGGCGACGAUCCCUAGCUGGUCUGAGAGGAUGACCAGCCACACUGCAACUGCGCCACGGGCCAGACUCCUACGGUAGGCAGCAGUGGGGAAUAUUGCACAAUGGGCGCAAGCCUGAUGCAGCCAUGCCGCGUGUAUGAAGAAGGCCUUCGGUUUGUAAAGUACUUUCAGCGGGGAGGCGUUACCCGCAGAAGAAGCACCGGCUAACUCCGUGCCAGCAGCCGCGGUAAUAC